AUCCGAGUGGUUUCUGCUAAAGAAACCUUUUGCUAGUCCUAGAAACACUAGUGAAUAAGGGGUGGGCAAGUUCUGGUGUCAGCCGCCGCGGUAAAACCAGCACCUCAAGUGGUCAGGAUGAUUAUUGGGCCUAAAGCAUCCGUAGCUCGUUUUGUAAGUUUUCGGUUAAAUCCAUACGCUUAACGUAUGGGCUGCCGGGAAUACUGCAUAACUAGGAAGUGGGAGAGGUAGACGGUACUCGGUAGGAAGGGGUAAAAUCCUUUGAUCUAUUGAUGACCACCUGUGGCGAAGGCGGUCUACCAGAACACGUUCGACGGUGAGGGAUGAAAGCUGGGGGAGCAAACCGGAUUAGAUACCCGGGUAGUCCCAGCUGUAAACUAUGCAAACUCAGUGAUGCAUUGGCUUGUGGCCAAUGCAGUGCUGCAGGGAAGCCGUUAAGUUUGCCGCCUGGGAAGUACGUACGCAAGUAUGAAACUUAA
This 479-nucleotide ribosomal RNA is filed under the name uncultured crenarchaeote. RNAcentral's name for it is "bacterial SSU rRNA". It matches the Rfam family "Archaeal small subunit ribosomal RNA", at positions 379 to 859 of the family's 1478-position model. The record is from RNAcentral. Lineage: Archaea; Thermoproteati; Thermoproteota.